AGGCUCAAGGUGUAAGCACAGUGAUGUGUUAAGCCAGCGAGUACUAAUCGGUCGAGGGCUUGACCUC
This 67-nucleotide ribosomal RNA is filed under the name Merdimmobilis hominis. RNAcentral's name for it is "partial 23S ribosomal RNA". Lineage: Bacteria; Bacillati; Bacillota; Clostridia; Eubacteriales; Oscillospiraceae. The record is from RNAcentral.